This 464-nucleotide ribosomal RNA is filed under the name Vreelandella stevensii. RNAcentral's name for it is "partial 16S ribosomal RNA". It matches the Rfam family "Bacterial small subunit ribosomal RNA", at positions 338 to 795 of the family's 1533-position model. Lineage: Bacteria; Pseudomonadati; Pseudomonadota; Gammaproteobacteria; Oceanospirillales; Halomonadaceae. The record is from RNAcentral.
CCUACGGGGGGCAGCAGUGGGGAAUAUUGGACAAUGGGCGAAAGCCUGAUCCAGCCAUGCCGCGUGUGUGAAGAAGGCCUUCGGGUUGUAAAGCACUUUCAGUGGGGAAGAAAGCCUUGGGGCUAAUACCCUCGAGGAAGGACAUCACCCACAGAAGAAGCACCGGCUAACUCCGUGCCAGCAGCCGCGGUAAUACGGAGGGUGCGAGCGUUAAUCGGAAUUACGGGGCGUAAAGCGCGCGUAGGCGGUCUGAUAAGCCGGUUGUGAAAGCCCCGGGCUCAACCUGGGAACGGCAUCCGGAACUGUCAGGCUAGAGUGCAGGAGAGGAAGGUAGAAUUCCCGGUGUAGCGGUGAAAUGCGUAGAGAUCGGGAGGAAUACCAGUGGCGAAGGCGGCCUUCUGGACUGACACUGACGCUGAGGUGCGAAAGCGUGGGUAGCAAACAGGAUUAGAUACCGGGUAGUC